GGACUGGGAUGAAUUGCAUAUUGCUUUUGUGAUUCUUUAUGGUAAAAAGCCCCAGGUUUCCAGCAUCCCGGAGCCUUGCCGGAGCCUUGCCGACCAUGAUUGGCUCCACCUGAGGGACGCAGGGCCUGGGAUUCCCUCCCCGCUAGCAGCAGUGACGUCACAGGCGAGCUCCUCCGCGGCGCUGGGCUGGAGCGGGGGAGGCGUCCCUGGGAAUUUCCAGGGAAACACUGCAGCAGAUGGCCUGCCUGGCUGAGCUUCAGUGACACAUCUGCAGCACGGCUGGUAGGAAGGAUAUUUUCGGAAAAUCUAUGCUCUCCCAGGUCCAGCUAGUUCUGAGAUAUAUAUGGACAUCAUGUGAAGGAUCCCAAGCCACGAACCAACGCUACACCCUACGUGCCUCCCUCCCCCCAACGUUUGCUUUCUGCCAGUUACAUUAUGCAGGCUGUCAAGGUGGCCGGUGGAAUACAAGGGCAAAUGUUGCUAAGGUAACAGGAUUGAAAACCUGUCUGCAGAAGCAGAUGCUUUAUAACCUGGGGUUUCCCUCAUUUGCAUUUAAAGGCUCCUGAGCCAUAGCCUCAAAGCAAGCCAAGUCCUUGAAGCUAAAAUAAGCUUAUUUAUUUAUUUAUUUUUAGAAUGUCAUCUGACAAGUCAUUGAGCAGCUUGUACCCCUGGCAAGGUUGAAUAAGUGCAGAAAAAAAUAAUCAGGUGCCAGUAAUUCCCACUGCAGUGGUCACAGAACGCAGGCAUUGAAGAGCACCC
This 759-nucleotide long non-coding RNA is filed under the name Mustela putorius furo (domestic ferret). RNAcentral describes it as "lncRNA (ENSMPUG00000024194.1)". Lineage: Eukaryota; Metazoa; Chordata; Mammalia; Carnivora; Mustelidae. The record is from RNAcentral.